ACACACACACACACACAUCCCUAAAUAAAUAAGCAAUUGUAAAAAAAAAAUUUAAGAAGUUUCCAGAAGCUGAAGCAGAAGGAAGAAGAAACAAAUUUGAAAGGGAUGUGGGUGACUGGAAUGAUAGGAAUGCUAGACCUGAGAUGCCUCCUUCCCCACACUGAUUGACUUGGGCCUGCAUAGACUGACGAACCCCUUCUUCUUGCUGCCGCAUUGCAGAUACCCUUCAGUCUGUUGGUGGAACACGGCGCAGUGUGGGACAGGGAGAGCCUGUACUAGUUUCUCACAGCCCUGCUCUUCACUCAGAGAAGGAAGUUGUUUGUGUAGUUCAGUGACUGCCGGGUUGUCUGGCAGGCGUGGCUGAGCUGCCCCAAGCCUCACCUCUUCAAGUGCCCCUGCCUUCCUCAGGAAUCUCCAGGCUCAUCUGUCAGAUGUGCUUGCCCAGGUGGUCGACUGUGAGGUGCUUCACUGGCGGCUGCCCUGCCUUCAAGAAGCCCACAGAGCGUCAGGAGAAUCCAGGUGUGGUCACAGUGUCUCUGAGGACCAAGGACAGCAGCAGCAGCUUGUAAGAGCUGCUGUCCCCGACUCCUGGGAAAGAGGCUCUGAAGCCGAGGCUCUGAAGCCGGCCUGACACUUGCUGAUUAUAGGCAAAGAAAGAACUUCGAAGAAAUGGGCGUAUCUACUAAGGGAGCUUCAGGAACAACAGGACUGAGAAGACAACAGGAUGUCAUCCAUACUGCAAAUAACCUUCGACCCACACUCAUUCAAGCGUCUAAUUAAACUUGGUGGGUCACAUGCGAAAGAAGACUUGAGACUGGGAGCCGGACCUCCUGGGAGAAAGGUCUCCAUGGUGGAAGGAAGGAGAUGAGACUGAGGAGUGGGGUGAAAAUGAGUGAAUUUAUUAUAGAAAUGGAUAGGCACUGGGGAGUGGCGGCGCACGCCUGUAAUCCCAGCACUUGAGAGGCAGAGGCAGGCAGAUUUCUGAGUUCGAGGCCAGCCUGGUCUACAGAGUGAGUUCCAGGACAACCAGGGCUACACAGAGAAACCCUGUCUUGAAAAACAAAACAAAACAAAACAAAACAAAAAAGAAAGCAACAAAGUGCAACCCAAACAAAACAGAGGCCUUUCUUGCUAUAAGUUUGGCAAAUGCUCUUUUGAUGGGAGAGCAUGAUAGAGCAGGCAAUGUUGUGCGCACGCGCAAACACUCACUCAC
Molecule: long non-coding RNA, 1213 nt
Organism: Apodemus sylvaticus (European woodmouse)
Lineage: Eukaryota; Metazoa; Chordata; Mammalia; Rodentia; Muridae
Exons: 3
Source: RefSeq, a predicted model, not a curated record